Molecule: ribosomal RNA, 581 nt
Filed under: uncultured bacterium
Lineage: Bacteria
Description: partial 16S ribosomal RNA
Rfam family: Bacterial small subunit ribosomal RNA
Source: RNAcentral
UGGGGAAUUUUGGACAAUGGGCGAAAGCCUGAUCCAGCAAUGCCGCGUGUGUGAAGAAGGCCUUCGGGUUGUAAAGCACUUUUGUCCGGAAAGAAAUCCUUGGCUCUAAUACAGUCGGGGGAUGACGGUACCGGAAGAAUAAGCACCGGCUAACUACGUGCCAGCAGCCGCGGUAAUACGUAGGGUGCAAGCGUUAAUCGGAAUUACUGGGCGUAAAGCGUGCGCAGGCGGUUUGCUAAGACCGAUGUGAAAUCCCCGGGCUCAACCUGGGAACUGCAUUGGUGACUGGCAGGCUAGAGUAUGGCAGAGGGGGGUAGAAUUCCACGUGUAGCAGUGAAAUGCGUAGAGAUGUGGAGGAAUACCGAUGGCGAAGGCAGCCCCCUGGGCCAAUACUGACGCUCAUGCACGAAAGCGUGGGGAGCAAACAGGAUUAGAUACCCUGGUAGUCCACGCCUAAACGAUGUCAACUAGUUGUGGGGAUCAUUCCUUAGUAACGUAGCUAACGCGUGAAGUUGACCGCCUGGGGAGUACGGUCGCAAGAUUAAAACUCAAAGGAAUUGACGGGGUCAUAGCUGUUUCCU